UUAACUUUUUUACUUGCUUUCCCUCUUUCGUUCGCUUUUAUGCUUUCCCCUUUUGUACCACCGACUUUUGUGAUUUUAAAAAAGAAGCCUUCUUACCUUCCGGAAAAAAGAAGCCCUGUUAUCUCGGAAAAAAAGAUAAGAAGACUUCUAAAUCCUUCUUAUCUCUUUUUCCGAGUAUACAGGGUAUUGAGAUAUAGGUACUACCCGGUUUUGUCCCAUCAUGACGUUUUAAUAAAAAUGGCAUACCUACAUUCGAUUAUGCGGUAAAAUAUUGAUUAAUGUGUUAAAAUAUUUCUUAAAAGU
This 303-nucleotide long non-coding RNA is filed under the name Androctonus crassicauda. Lineage: Eukaryota; Metazoa; Arthropoda; Arachnida; Scorpiones; Buthidae. The record is from RNAcentral.